GGGGUCGUAGCUCAGUUGGUAGAGCACCUGCUUUGCAAGCAGGGGGUCGUCGGUUCGAGACCGUCCGGCUCCACCA
Molecule: transfer RNA, 76 nt
Filed under: Verrucomicrobia bacterium IMCC26134
Lineage: Bacteria; Pseudomonadati; Verrucomicrobiota
Also listed under: 1 other name
Description: tRNA-Ala (TGC) (tRNA-Ala-TGC-1-1, tRNA-Ala-TGC-1-2)
Rfam family: tRNA
About the family: Transfer RNA (tRNA) molecules are approximately 80 nucleotides in length. Their secondary structure includes four short double-helical elements and three loops (D, anti-codon, and T loops).
Source: RNAcentral